This 182-nucleotide ribosomal RNA is filed under the name Salmonella enterica. RNAcentral describes it as "partial 16S ribosomal RNA". It matches the Rfam family "Bacterial small subunit ribosomal RNA", at positions 1 to 176 of the family's 1533-position model. Lineage: Bacteria; Pseudomonadati; Pseudomonadota; Gammaproteobacteria; Enterobacterales; Enterobacteriaceae. RNAcentral also lists the same sequence under 1 other name. The record is from RNAcentral.
AAAUUGAAGAGUUUGAUCAUGGCUCAGAUUGAACGCUGGCGGCAGGCCUAACACAUGCAAGUCGAACGGUAACAGGAAGCAGCUUGCUGCUUUGCUGACGAGUGGCGGACGGGUGAGUAAUAUCUGGGAAACUGCCUGAUGGAGGGGGAUAACUACUGGAAACGGUGGCUAAUACCGCAUAA